Molecule: ribosomal RNA, 492 nt
Filed under: uncultured bacterium
Lineage: Bacteria
Description: partial 16S ribosomal RNA
Rfam family: Bacterial small subunit ribosomal RNA
Source: RNAcentral
AGUGAACGCUGGCGGCAGGCCUAACACAUGCAAGUCGAACGGCAGCACAGUAAGAGCUUGCUCUUACGGGUGGCGAGUGGCGGACGGGUGAGGAAUACAUCGGAAUCUACUUUUUCGUGGGGGAUAACGUAUGGAAACUUACGCUAAUACCUCAUACGACCUACGGGUGAAAGCAGGGGAUCUUCGGACCUUGCGCGAUUGAAUGAGCCGGUGUCGGAUUAGCUAGUUGGCGGGGUAAAGGCCCACCAAGGCGACGAUCCGUAGCCGGUCUGAGAGGAUGAUCAGCCACACUGGAACUGAGACACGGUCCAGACUCCUACGGGAGGCAGCAGUGGGGAAUAUUGGACAAUGGGCGAAAGUCUGACCCAGCAAUACCGCGUGAGUGAAGAAGGCCUUCGGGUCGUAAAGCCCUGUUGUUAGGAAAGAAAAGCAGCAGGUUUAACCGACGCUGUUCUGACGGUACCCAAAGAAUAAGCACCGGCUAACUUCGUG